AUGCUGUUUGCCAUUGUUCAGUUUAUUGAUGAGGAGGAUCAGCCAUUUGCAGUGGUUCCGCAAGUGUGGCUCAGCGAGGGCAUGUGCUAUUGGCCCCCAUUUAACCUCCGCAAAAAAGACAAAGGCAACAAUUUAGCCAUCCGCUGCACGCCUCCACACAGCACCUGGGAGAAACAUCAUUUUAAGUUUAUGAAGGGAGCAGAAUGUUGGCAAGAGGCGAUGAGAUAUUUGGUGCGCUUCCAAACAGGUUCUAGCGUUGAAACGACGGACGAUGACAAGAAGAGAAAGAGAAAGAGAAUCUCAAAUUCCAAGUACAGACCCCAGGCCUCUUCUGAUGAAGAGGAGUCUAGUCUUCCAGAUGCACCAGCAGUGCUGUCGUUUGGACAACCUCUUUUGAGCUUUGAAAACAUUGUUCCUGGUAACAAGGUUUCAGUGCUGCCCGAUGCUCCAGAAGUUGCAUCGAUUCCAGAAAACCAGGAAAAUGUUGUGCCAUCUGUAGACUUCAGAGGUGAACCAGGUUUCUCCCCAGAAAUUCAGACUCCACUUCACAGAGCCAAGAGUUUGAGUACAAGACACUUGACUGGUUACUCGCCGCAGCAGUUUCUGGAUGAAAGGUGUCGAGGUGUGUUGUACAUUCCAUUAGCAUUGCACAGUUCAAUUAUAGUUUCAUUACUGAAUAUGCAAUACUCUGCACUGAAGUUAAAGCUGUUAUGUUUGCUCUUCCAGCUCGUCAAGUACUAA
This 741-nucleotide long non-coding RNA is filed under the name Carassius auratus (goldfish). RNAcentral's name for it is "lncRNA (ENSCARG00000066239.1)". The record is from RNAcentral. Lineage: Eukaryota; Metazoa; Chordata; Actinopteri; Cypriniformes; Cyprinidae.